CAAAAUGUAGCUCAUUCGGGUAGAGCACUUGACGUUUAAUCAAGGGGUAGUGGGUUCGACUCCCACCAUUUGAA
RNAcentral lists this transfer RNA (74 nucleotides) under Thalassovita mediterranea. RNAcentral's name for it is "Thalassobius mediterraneus tRNA-Lys". It matches the Rfam family "tRNA". From Rfam's summary of the family: Transfer RNA (tRNA) molecules are approximately 80 nucleotides in length. RNAcentral also lists the same sequence under 1 other name. The record is from RNAcentral. Lineage: Bacteria; Pseudomonadati; Pseudomonadota; Alphaproteobacteria; Rhodobacterales; Roseobacteraceae.